GCCCAUCUUUCAAAGGGUCUAAGCAUCACGGUGAGCCAAUGGGAGAAGAAGUUGGUUUCUGAGAAGGCUACCGCGGUCGAGGUAUUUCUCUUUACAGAUGAAUUUUGGAUGAUCAAACUAGAGUUUGCCUUGGAGUCCUACCUACAGGGACUCACAAACUUCAAGCUGAAAGUCUAGAGUCACUUCUCUGAUCUUGACCUUGGGCCACUAGAGUCGAAUGAUGAGGAGAAAGAGCUGGCCAAGGUCAUCAUGGAGGAGGAGGCACAAGCUAAGGCAGAGACCGAUCUAGGGUGCGAUGAAGGCUAGG
Molecule: long non-coding RNA, 307 nt
Filed under: Elaeis guineensis (African oil palm)
Lineage: Eukaryota; Viridiplantae; Streptophyta; Magnoliopsida; Arecales; Arecaceae
Description: long non-coding RNA (EGUI_LNC035598)
Source: RNAcentral